Molecule: ribosomal RNA, 462 nt
Filed under: uncultured bacterium
Lineage: Bacteria
Description: bacterial SSU rRNA
Rfam family: Bacterial small subunit ribosomal RNA
Source: RNAcentral
UAAGGAAUAUUGCGCAAUGGGCGACAGCCUGACGCAGCGACGCCGCGUGGGGGAUGAAGGUCUUCGGAUUGUAAACCCCUUUCGGCAGGGAAGAUGGAACGGGUAACCGUUCGGACGGUACCUGCAGAAGCAGCCACGGCUAACUUCGUGCCAGCAGCCGCGGUAAUACGAAGGUGGCAAGCGUUGUUCGGAUUUACUGGGCGUACAGGGAGCGUAGGCGGUUGGGUAAGCCCUCCGUGAAAUCUCCGGGCCUAACCCGGAAAGUGCGGAGGGGACUGCUCGGCUAGAGGAUGGGAGAGGAGCGCGGAAUUCCCGGUGUAGCGGUGAAAUGCGUAGAGAUCGGGAGGAAGGCCGGUGGCGAAGGCGGCGCUCUGGAACAUUUCUGACGCUGAGGCUCGAAAGCGUGGGGAGCAAACAGGAUUAGAUACCCUCGUAGUCCCUGAGCGGGCUGGCAAGGCGCAU